This 1889-nucleotide long non-coding RNA is filed under the name Sitophilus oryzae (rice weevil). Its description in RNAcentral is "uncharacterized LOC115890120, transcript variant X1". The record is from RNAcentral. Lineage: Eukaryota; Metazoa; Arthropoda; Insecta; Coleoptera; Curculionidae.
UUUCAAAAUGAUUUCAAAUUCAAAGUUUUUAGUUAGUUGGCUUUUAGAUAGAUUUUAAAAAUUUGUAGAAAGUAAAAAUAGAAAUUAUUGCUUUAUUUAGAAUUUAGUUGAUACCUGUGGACAAUUUAAAAAUAUUCCAAGCACAAAAGAUUACAUUACCCUUUGAAACCAUUGGUGUGUCUUGGAAGUGUAGCGCAUUCAUCCAAGAUGAUUUAUUAUCAGCAUCGUAGAUGAAUAUGGAUGAAUGGAAUUUGUCUUCAGUGCUCUAUAAGUUUGUACUAUGGAGGGCUUUAAAAGUCGGAGGUACAAACUAUGGAGGCCUUUUAGCCUCCAUAGUUUGUACCUCCAGCUUUUAAAGCUUUGUAAGGGAUAUUGUAAUGAGGUUAAAUUUUAACUUGGAUUAAGAAAAAAACGUCGGCUUUGUUUAAGAAAGGAGCUGAUUUUUGUUUAGAAGGUAUGCCAAUAUUACUGCCCCUAAGAAACACUGGAAAUAUUGUAUGCUGCAAUUGUUCGGAAGACAUGGGCCUGAAAUUGGAAUAAGAAUAGUAUGGUAUAUUGCACUAUACACUUGAAUUUGCGCUAUGGACUAAAGAAAAGGGAAGAUUUGAAGGUAUUUGAUGACGAGAAGCAAGAAGAUGUUGAGCCCAUAGUUGAAAGAAAAUGUCCUAAAUUUGAUAAUAAUAAAAUGUUUAAUGCUGCAAUUCAACAUAAGUCACUUGAUGAAGGGCAGACAGUGUCUUAUACUUGAACACAAAAUAUAACUACGAGGAAAGUGAAAUUUUUUAAGACAACUGCCUUUUUUAUAUACUUCUUUGCAUCUUUUUGGAGUGAUAAAUAUGAAUCCCUUAAAUAUAACAAUGAUUUCUACAUGGAUAUACAGUACUUAUGAGAGCCUGCUCAAGAAAUUACAGAAUUAAAUGUGCAGUCCUUUCUUCUCAAUGAAGAAUCUCUUCAUAUACAAGCUUGAACGAGUCAAAAGCAUUGUGGAAUGGACAGAAAUUUGCCAUUGUCAUGAUUAAAGUGAUAUCUGUGUGAGUGAUGGGAACAGCUUGAAGGCCCUUUGAAUACCAAUUAGCUCAUAGUAUAGGAAAUAACAGUAAAUCUUAAAGUCAAGCAAGCAAGCAUACAGUUUCACUGCAGCAAUCUGACAGUGUCCAGGAUGUCCUUGAUGGAAUAUAAAGAAAAUAUGAAUUUACCAAGAUUCAGACAUACAUAUAUAUAUCCAGUCCAAGAUGAGAAAUGUUAAUAUAUGAUGUAUACAAUGAAAGUAUUUUGCUUUCUACUGGCCAGCAUUAAGUCCUUUGUAAAAUGGGUUAAAUAUUAACUCCAGAUGAUGGCCUGAUAUACAGACAAUUGAAGCUUUUUAUGUAUGUAACCCAGAGCCAUGUAGAAGAAUCAAGAUAACAAUGUAGAAGAAUCGACUGGUGAAGGGGUAUUGAAAUGGGGGGAUUUCUAUAUGGAUAAACAAUAUUUAUGAGAGCCAAAAUGUGCAGUCCUUUCUUCUCAAUGAAGAAUCUCUACAUAUACAAGCACGAACGAGUCAAAAGCAUUGUGGAAUGGAGAAAGAUUAGAAAUUUGCCAUUGUCAUGAUUAAAAUGAUAUCUGUGUGAGUGAUGGAAACAACUUGAAGGCCCUUUGAAUACCAAUUAGCUCGUAGUAUAGGAAAUAACAGUAAAUCUUAAAGUCCAGCAAGAGAGCAUACAAUUUCGCUGCAGCAAUCUCACAGUGUCCAGGAUGUCCUUGAUGGAAUAUAAAGAAAAUAUGAAUUUACCAAGAUUCAGACAUACAUAUAUAUAUCCAGUCCAUGUAGAAGUUUCCAUCCCCAUCUCCAUGAUCCAGGUCCACUACGUGCAACUUUUUUUAAACCUUGUAUAUUGUAUUUAUUUUAU